UACGUAGGGUGCGAGCGUUGUCCGGAAUUAUUGGGCGUAAAGAGCUCGUAGGCGGCUUGUCGCGUCGGCUGUGAAAACUCGGGGCUCAACCCCGAGCCUGCAGUCGAUACGGGCAGGCUGGAGUCCGGCAGGGGAGACUGGAAUUCCUGGUGUAGCGGUGAAAUGCGCAGAUAUCAGGAGGAACACCUAUUGCGAAGGCAGCUCGCUGGGACGUAACUGACGCUGAGACGCGAAAGCGUGGGGAGCAAACAGG
Molecule: ribosomal RNA, 253 nt
Filed under: uncultured bacterium
Lineage: Bacteria
Description: partial 16S ribosomal RNA
Rfam family: Bacterial small subunit ribosomal RNA
Source: RNAcentral